RNAcentral lists this small nucleolar RNA (106 nucleotides) under Spinacia oleracea (spinach). RNAcentral describes it as "Plant small nucleolar RNA R71". It matches the Rfam family "Plant small nucleolar RNA R71". From Rfam's summary of the family: R71 is a member of the C/D box family of snoRNAs containing the C (UGAUGA) and D (CUGA) box motifs. Multiple nearly identical copies of this snoRNA have been identified in Arabidopsis, and it is thought to function as a 2'-O-ribose methylation guide for 18S ribosomal RNA. The record is from Rfam by way of RNAcentral. Lineage: Eukaryota; Viridiplantae; Streptophyta; Magnoliopsida; Caryophyllales; Amaranthaceae.
GAUCAUAUUGUGGGCAUUCUCUUUGUAGAUCUUUGAAUGUUUCCCAGACUUCAAACAAGCCCUCGUCUGCCUGCUGUGUAAUAGAAAUCAUCUGGCUUCUCAGACG